GACGAACCGUGCGAACGUUGUUCGGAAUCACUGGGCUUAAAGGGCGCGUAGGCGGCUUGCCAAGUCAGGGGUGAAAUCCUGCAGCUUAACUGUAGAAGGGCCUUUGAUACUGGCGAGCUCGAGGGAGGUAGGGGUAUGUGGAACUUCCGGUGGAGCGGUGAAAUGCGUAGAGAUCGGAAAGAACACCAACGGCGAAAGCACUCUGCUGGGCCGACACUGACACUGAGAGACGAAAGCUAGGGGAGCGAAUGGG
RNAcentral lists this ribosomal RNA (253 nucleotides) under uncultured bacterium. Its description in RNAcentral is "partial 16S ribosomal RNA". It matches the Rfam family "Bacterial small subunit ribosomal RNA", at positions 524 to 776 of the family's 1533-position model. The record is from RNAcentral.